RNAcentral lists this ribosomal RNA (492 nucleotides) under uncultured bacterium. RNAcentral's name for it is "partial 16S ribosomal RNA". It matches the Rfam family "Bacterial small subunit ribosomal RNA", at positions 29 to 507 of the family's 1533-position model. The record is from RNAcentral.
AGUGAACGCUGGCGGUAGGCCUAACACAUGCGAGUCGAACGGCAGCACAGUAAGAGCUUGCUCUUACGGGUGGCGAGUGGCGGACGGGUGAGGAAUACAUCGGAAUCUACUUUCUCGUGGGGGAUAACGUAGGGAAACUUACGCUAAUACCGCAUACGACCUACGGGUGAAAGCAGGGGAUCUUCGGACCUUGCGCGAUUGAAUGAGCCGAUGUCGGAUUAGCUAGUUGGCGGGGUAAAGGCCCACCAAGGCGACGAUCCGUAGCUGGUCUGAGAGGAUGAUCAGCCACACUGGAACUGAGACACGGUCCAGACUCCUACGGGAGGCAGCAGUGGGGAAUAUUGGACAAUGGGCGCAAGCCUGAUCCAGCCAUACCGCGUGGGUGAAGAAGGCCUUCGGGUUGUAAAGCCCUUUUGUUGGGAAAGAAAAGCAGCAGAUUAAUACCCCGCUGUUCUGACGGUACCCAAAGAAUAAGCACCGGCUAACUUCGUG